GGCUUGAUGGUCUAGUGGUAGGAUCCAUGCUUUGGAUGUUCAUUCAAACAUGCAUGUGGCCUGGGUUCGAUUCCCAGUCGAGCCC
This 85-nucleotide transfer RNA is filed under the name Phialocephala subalpina. It matches the Rfam family "tRNA". Rfam says of the family: Transfer RNA (tRNA) molecules are approximately 80 nucleotides in length. Their secondary structure includes four short double-helical elements and three loops (D, anti-codon, and T loops). The record is from Rfam by way of RNAcentral. Lineage: Eukaryota; Fungi; Ascomycota; Leotiomycetes; Helotiales; Mollisiaceae.